Molecule: ribosomal RNA, 389 nt
Filed under: Syndiniales sp.
Lineage: Eukaryota; Dinophyceae; Syndiniales
Description: partial small subunit ribosomal RNA
Rfam family: Eukaryotic small subunit ribosomal RNA
Source: RNAcentral
AUUCCAGCUCCAAUAGCGUAUGUUAAAGUUGUUGCGGCUAAAAAGCUCGUAGUUGGAUUUCUAGAUGAGAGGAGUGGUCCACCUCAUGGGUGUGCAUCUACUUCCGCUCGUCUAUCCGCUCUGCAAACGUGUUCGCGCUUGAGUGCGUGGCGCGGAGGUAGGGCCUUUUACUUUGAGGAAAUUAGAGUGUUCACGGCAGGCUUACGCCUUGAAUAUAUUAGCAUGGAAUAACAACAUAGGAUCUUGGUCCUAUUUUGUUGGUUUCUAGGACUUAGAUAAUGAUUAAUAGGGACAAUUGGGGGCAUUCGUAUCGCGGUGUCAGAGGUGGAAUUCUUGGAUUACUGCGCGACGAACUACUGCGAAAGCAUUUGCCAAGGAUGUUUUCAUUA